AGAGUUUGAUCCUGGCUCAGAAUCAACGCUGGCGGCGUGCCUAACACAUGCAAGUCGAACGCGAAAGGGCCUUCGGGUCCGAGUAGAGUGGCGGACGGGUGAGUAACACGUGGGUGACCUGCCGUUCAGAGGGGGAUAACUCCGGGAAACUGGAGCUAAGACCGCAUGAGCUCUCGAGAGCGAUCUUGAGAGGAAAUGUCGAAAGACAGCUGGACGAGGGGCCCGCGCCCGAUUAGCUGGUUGGCGGGGUAAGAGCCCACCAAGGCGACGAUCGGUAGCCGGUCUGAGAGGACGGACGGCCACACUGGAACUGAGAGACGGUCCAGACUCCUACGGGAGGCAGCAGUGGGGAAUUUUGCGCAAUGGGGGAAACCCUGACGCAGCAACGCCGCGUGGAGGAUGACGGUCUUCGGAUUGUAAACUCCUGUCCUCGGGGACGAAAGCCAUGACGGUACCCGGGGAGGAAGCCCCGGCUAACUCCGUGCCAGCAGCCGCGGUAAUACGGGGGGGCGAGCGUUGUUCGGAAUUACUGGGCGUAAAGGGCGCGUAGGCGGCCUGGGAAGUCUUGGGUGAAAGCCCCCGGCUCAACCGGGGAAGGGCCUGAGAAACCACUGGGCUGGAGUGCUGGAGAGGAAAGCGGAAUUCCUGGUGUAGCGGUGAAAUGCGUAGAGAUCAGGAGGAACACCUGCGGCGAAGGCGGCUUUCUGGACAGACACUGACGCUGAGGCGCGAAAGCCAGGGGAGCAAACAGGAUUAGAUACCCUGGUAGUCCUGGCUGUAAACGAUGACGACUUGGUGUGAGGGGUUCAUAGACCCUUCGUGCCGGCGAUAACUCGUUAAGUCGUCCGCCUGGGGAGUACGGCCGCAUGGCUAAACUCAAAGGAAUUGACGG
RNAcentral lists this ribosomal RNA (892 nucleotides) under uncultured bacterium. RNAcentral describes it as "bacterial SSU rRNA". It matches the Rfam family "Bacterial small subunit ribosomal RNA", at positions 8 to 916 of the family's 1533-position model. The record is from RNAcentral.